UGUGGCUUAGUGGUAAAGUGCUUGCCUGGCAUGCAUGAAGCCCUGGGUUCAAUUCCUCAGCA
This 62-nucleotide transfer RNA is filed under the name Dipodomys ordii (Ord's kangaroo rat). It matches the Rfam family "tRNA", at positions 6 to 65 of the family's 71-position model. From Rfam's summary of the family: Transfer RNA (tRNA) molecules are approximately 80 nucleotides in length. Their secondary structure includes four short double-helical elements and three loops (D, anti-codon, and T loops). Further hydrogen bonds mediate the characteristic L-shaped molecular structure. tRNAs have two regions of fundamental functional importance: the anti-codon, which is responsible for specific mRNA codon recognition, and the 3' end, to which the tRNAs corresponding amino acid is attached (by aminoacyl-tRNA synthetases). tRNAs cope with the degeneracy of the genetic code in two manners: having more than one tRNA (with a specific anti-codon) for a particular amino acid; and 'wobble' base-pairing, i.e. permitting non-standard base-pairing at the 3rd anti-codon position. Lineage: Eukaryota; Metazoa; Chordata; Mammalia; Rodentia; Heteromyidae. The record is from Rfam by way of RNAcentral.